GGCCAGACUCCUACGGGAGGCAGCAGUGAGGAAUAUUGGUCAAUGGGCGGGAGCCUGAACCAGCCAAGUCGCGUGAAGGAAGAAGGUACUUAGUAUUGUAAACUUCUUUUGUCGGGGAACAAAGGCGGAGACGCGUCUCCGGACGAGUGUACCCGAAGAAAAAGCAUCGGCUAACUCCGUGCCAGCAGCCGCGGUAAUACGGAGGAUGCGAGCGUUAUCCGGAUUUAUUGGGUUUAAAGGGUGCGUAGGCGGACAGUCAAGUCAGCGGUAAAAAUGCGGUGCUCAACGCCGUACAGCCGUUGAAACUGGCAGUCUUGAGUGGGCGAGAAGUAUGCGGAAUGCGUGGUGUAGCGGUGAAAUGCAUAGAUAUCACGCAGAACUCCGAUUGCGAAGGCAGCAUACCGGCGCCCUACUGACGCUGAGGCACGAAAGCGUGGGUAUCGAACAGGAUUAGAUACCCUUGUAC
This 466-nucleotide ribosomal RNA is filed under the name uncultured bacterium. RNAcentral's name for it is "bacterial SSU rRNA". It matches the Rfam family "Bacterial small subunit ribosomal RNA", at positions 329 to 793 of the family's 1533-position model. The record is from RNAcentral.